Molecule: long non-coding RNA, 2591 nt
Organism: Oryzias sinensis (Chinese medaka)
Lineage: Eukaryota; Metazoa; Chordata; Actinopteri; Beloniformes; Adrianichthyidae
Source: Ensembl
GGUAAUGUUUACUCCAGUCGGGGGACGUCCAGAAAUCCUUUCAUCUGACCCCGCUGACCCCUUCCUCCUCCUCCUCAUCCUCCUCCUCACAGGGACAAGUGAACUUGAGGAGCUGUUGCCAUUUCAAAUCCUCUGGACUAUUUCCACCCCGGUGUUUGUACGCAAGUAUUCUCCACCUCAGGGCUCAGUGGGAGUCACAUUUAAACACCUCCGUCGUCCGCCCGCCACACGUUCUAUGACACACCUGUUGUGGCGUGCUAACCAACAGCAGCCCAACGGUGAAGACGUGCUUUAAAACCAUCGAGUCUCUGGAAUUGUUUAACAUUUGGUUUCAACAGCCUUAAAUGAUGCAUGUUGGUCUCUGUCACUUUUUUUGUUUUAUGUUUUUUUAUUUUAUUUAAUAUUUUGGGUCAGGUUUCCUCUAAAAAGGGGAGCUUUCCACUCUCAGGCUGCAUGUGCUUAGAGGGCUAAAGAAGAUGCUACUGAAUGUAAAUGCAAAUUUAUUAGAAAAACAAAAAACAUGCAUAAAAAAUGUUUAUGGAUUCAUGCACAAGACCAAAAUGUUUCUUUUCUGUUGACAUAGAGGUGAAGUUUAUUUCUAUUAUUCUCAAAAGAGCAGACGUUCAUUUAUUAACACCUUUGUAACAAUAAGUAUUCAUGUUCAUAAAAUCAGUUUAUUGCUUCUUCUUAUGACUCUUCCGUUUUCUUUAAAAAAAUUCAUGCAGUUUCCCUUUUGGACAGCAGAGGGCGCGUGGCUAUCAGCUGUCACUUUGAAGCGCGUGCUGCUUUGGGAUGCAUAUUGCAUAACAACAUGCAUACUGCAUAAGGCUGAAGCACGAAGAUGGAGACCUUUUAGAGCCAGGACGCAGGCUUUCAUGCUUCUUCUUUUUUAAAUAUUUAUUGCAGGGAUGGAGGCAUUUUUCUGUUAAUUACAGGAACUACAAAGUAGACAUCCAAAAAAAAAAUCCUAAUUUCUCUAAAAAGAGCCUUAAUCUGCUGUUUAUUCAAAAAGCAAAAAUCCAGAUUUGACUUAAAGUGAUCAUUUUAUUUUAUUUUUUAAGUGUUUGCUGAUCAAGGUUUCUUCGAAAAAGCUGUAGAAUCUGCGAACUGCAGCAAAUGUGUCAAAAUAUCAGCAUUACAACACAGCAGAGGGGGAUUUCUACGAUAAAUGGAACAGGAUGGACCCGCGGACGCGCCAAGAGUGAAAUCAUGCUCCACUCACUGGAAGAGUUGCCUUCACGUGCCGUGGGAAAUGCUACUGAUCGGGUCAUCUUGUUAAACGUGGAAUGGAAUUCUAAAGUUUGUAUCGUCGUAUAAAAGAGGAAAUGUUACGGUGACAGUUUUUGAUCAGUUUCUCCUAAAACCAAUACGCCAAAAAAGACUAAACUAUUAAUUUUGUUGGGGGAAAAAUGGCCACAAUGUUUAUUGAAACAUACAGUGGCUUGAAUAUCUUUUUUAACCCCAAAUAUCUUUAUAUUAAUUGGUGCAAAACGUAAAUAGAAGACUAAAACUAACUUCAAUUAAACAACAAACAAAUAUUAUUUUAAAACAACUAUUGUAGUACUUUAAGAAGAAAAUGUGUAUAUUAGUGACACUUUACAAACCUAUAUAUUAUUCCAGUGACUUAAUUGUAGACCUAGUAUUCUAUAAUUUUCCCCAAAUCUAAUAAUUGUUACUUCAAAGUGAAAUCCAAGUAAAUAAUUAAGUAAAUAAUAAUAUUCAAAUUAGCUAGUUAUAGAAGUUCUAAAGUACAAAUUUUAAUUGUGUCAUUUAUUUUAAUUUUAUUUAUAAAAGCUAGUUUGCUACACAAAAAACACACAAAUAAAAGAAAUUUCAAGUAAUUAUAAAUUGUGUUUUAAGGUCAUGCAAAGUUUAAAAAGUCAAUUCUAAUUUUUCUACUAUUACAAGUUUUGUUUUUGGUGUUUGAAUGUACUGUUUUUGUAAAAGUGUUUUUAUUUUCUACCUUAGAACUAGGUGACUGGUAUCUUCAUUUUUAUUUUUUAACUGUGAUUUGAAUAAGAAACCUGUACAAGAGAGGAAACUUCACUGUCAGAGUUACUUUGAGGUUCCGUGAACGCACCGCGCUCCGGGGUACUAGUCCAGCGGCGGGUGACGGUCCGGCUCUACGGUAGCUGCUCCGCUCCGCUCCAAAGCCGCGAAAGAGCCGAACGGGACAGGGUUUUUUUUUUUCUCCAGGGGGGUGGGGGGCAGCCUGACAGGCAGCGUGUCGGGGUGGGGAGGGGGCCGGUGCUAUAAAUGGGAUUAAAGCGCUGAGGCGGCAGGAGUAGUGAUAGUAGAGAGGAGGGAGAGCCCGACUCAACAGCACUGCGGCGCAUGUGCUCCCGCGUGCCCGCUCCGUCCGCGGCGGAGGAGGAACUAGCACCCCCGAAAAACUGACAAGAGACCAACGGUAGCUGCAGCUCCACGGAGCCCGCGUUCAGGCUUCCCCCUUGGGGGUGAAGUAGCUGCAAACCGGCGGAGGGGUUGAUGUUGAUGUGGGAGAGAAGGGGGGGAGUGGACUUAAGGGGUGUUUGAUUCUCCAAACUUGCUAAAACUCAACUUGAAUAGAAGUUUUUGCUUUAUUUUUACAC